This 434-nucleotide ribosomal RNA is filed under the name uncultured Lachnospiraceae bacterium. RNAcentral's name for it is "partial 16S ribosomal RNA". It matches the Rfam family "Bacterial small subunit ribosomal RNA", at positions 341 to 792 of the family's 1533-position model. Lineage: Bacteria; Bacillati; Bacillota; Clostridia; Lachnospirales; Lachnospiraceae. The record is from RNAcentral.
ACGGAAGGCAGCAGUGGGGAAUAUUGGACAAUGGGGGCAACCCUGAUCCAGCGACGCCGCGUGAGUGAAGAAGUAUUUCGGUAUGUAAAGCUCUAUCAGCAGGGAAGAAAAUGACGGUACCUGACUAAGAAGCCCCGGCUAACUACGUGCCAGCAGCCGCGGUAAUACGUAGGGGGCAAGCGUUAUCCGGAUUUACUGGGUGUAAAGGGAGCGUAGACGGCGAUGCAAGUCUGAAGUGAAAGCCCGCGGCUUAACUGCGGAACUGCUUUGGAAACUGUAUUGCUAGAGUGUCGGAGAGGUGAGUGGAAUUCCCAGUGUAGCGGUGGAAUGCGUAGAUAUUAGGAGGAACACCAGUGGCGAAGGCGGCUUUCUGGACGAUAACUGACGCUGAGGCUCGAAAGCGUGGGGAGCAAACAGGAUUAGAUACCCUGGUA